CUUCAGGCUGCCCAGCCACAACGGCGCGCCGGCCGGGCGGCCCUGACCGUAGGUGGCGAGCAGGGCCUGGGCCUC
RNAcentral lists this antisense RNA (75 nucleotides) under Parafrankia flexibilis. RNAcentral's name for it is "Frankia sp. EI5c ASpks TB sRNA". It matches the Rfam family "ASpks TB sRNA". The record is from Rfam by way of RNAcentral. Lineage: Bacteria; Bacillati; Actinomycetota; Actinomycetes; Frankiales; Frankiaceae.